This 497-nucleotide ribosomal RNA is filed under the name uncultured bacterium. Its description in RNAcentral is "partial 16S ribosomal RNA". It matches the Rfam family "Bacterial small subunit ribosomal RNA", at positions 28 to 507 of the family's 1533-position model. The record is from RNAcentral.
GAUGAACGCUGGCGGCGUGCCUAAUACAUGCAAGUCGAGCGAACAGACGAGGAGCUUGCUCCUCUGACGUUAGCGGCGGACGGGUGAGUAACACGUGGAUAACCUACCUAUAAGACUGGGAUAACUUCGGGAAACCGGAGCUAAUACCGGAUAACAUGUUGAACCGCAUGGUUCAACAGUGAAAGACGGUCUUGCUGUCACUUAUAGAUGGAUCCGCGCCGCAUUAGCUAGUUGGUAAGGUAACGGCUUACCAAGGCAACGAUGCGUAGCCGACCUGAGAGGGUGAUCGGCCACACUGGAACUGAGACACGGUCCAGACUCCUACGGGAGGCAGCAGUAGGGAAUCUUCCGCAAUAGGCGAAAGCCUGACGGAGCAACGCCGCGUGAGUGAAGAAGGUCUUCGGAUCGUAAAACUCUGUUAUUAGGGAAGAACAAAUGUGUAAGUAACUAUGCACGUCUUGACGGUACCUAAUCAGAAAGCCACGGCUAACUACGUG